GGCCGCGGGAAUUCGAUUGGAUCGCCCUUAGAGUUUGAUCAUGGCUCAGAACAAACGCUGGCGGCGUGCCUAACACAUGCAAGUCGUACGAGAAAGUCCGCUUCGGUGGAUGAGUAAAGUGGCGCACGGGUGAGUAACGCGUGGAUAAUCUACCCUUUAGUCUGGAAUAACUUAUCGAAAGGUGAACUAAUACCGGAUAAUAUCCCGAUUUCUUCGGCGAUCGGGGUCAAAGAAGGCCUCUGCUUGCAAGCUUUCACUGAAGGAUGAGUCCGCGUACCAUUAGCUAGUUGGCAGGGUAAUGGCCUACCAAGGUUAUGAUGGUUAGCUGGUCUGAGAGGAUGAUCAGCCACACUGGAACUGAAACACGGUCCAGACUCCUACGGGAGGCAGCAGUGAGGAAUAUUGCGCAAUGGGGGCAACCCUGACGCAGCAACGCCGCGUGAGUGAGGAAGGUUUUCGGAUUGUAAAGCUCUGUCGAGCGGAAAGAAGUGCAUGGUGGUUAAUAUCCAUCAUGCUUGACGGUACCGCUAAAGGAAGCACCGGCUAACUCCGUGCCAGCAGCCGCGGUAAUACGGGGGGUGCAAGCGUUGUUCGGAAUCAUUGGGCGUAAAGCGCGUGUAGGCGGCUGGACAAGUCAGAUGUGAAAGCCCUGGGCUUAACCCGGGAAGUGCAUUUGAAACUGUUCAGCUAGAGUAAGGGAGAGGAAAGUGGAAUUCCUGGUGUAGAGGUGAAAUUCGUAGAUAUCAGGAGGAACACCGGUGGCGAAGC
RNAcentral lists this ribosomal RNA (768 nucleotides) under uncultured bacterium. RNAcentral describes it as "partial 16S ribosomal RNA". It matches the Rfam family "Bacterial small subunit ribosomal RNA", at positions 1 to 722 of the family's 1533-position model. The record is from RNAcentral.